RNAcentral lists this small nuclear RNA (97 nucleotides) under Sciurus vulgaris (Eurasian red squirrel). The record is from RNAcentral. Lineage: Eukaryota; Metazoa; Chordata; Mammalia; Rodentia; Sciuridae.
GUCUCACUUUGGCAGACAUAUACCAACAUUGGUAUGAUACAGAUUAACACCCCUGAACAAGGAAGACAUGCAAAUUCAUGAAGUGUUCCAUAUUAGA